Molecule: transfer RNA, 90 nt
Filed under: Fusarium acuminatum CS5907
Lineage: Eukaryota; Fungi; Ascomycota; Sordariomycetes; Hypocreales; Nectriaceae
Description: tRNA-Sec
Source: RNAcentral
CUCCGGUACAGGGAAUCGAACCCUGAGCUCCGCGGAACAAGUCUCUCAGGUCAUGAGAGCGCGAAAUGUUAGCCAUUACACCAUACCGGA